AGGAUAAUAGUCAAAAAUGAUACCUGAUUUGCAUUUAGGAGGUGUUACUAAGUUAACUUAUCUUA
Molecule: transfer RNA, 65 nt
Filed under: Squilla mantis
Lineage: Eukaryota; Metazoa; Arthropoda; Malacostraca; Stomatopoda; Squillidae
Description: tRNA-Ala
Source: RNAcentral